This 108-nucleotide microRNA precursor is filed under the name Glycine max (soybean). RNAcentral describes it as "miR2111 stem-loop (gma-MIR2111a)". The record is from miRBase by way of RNAcentral. Lineage: Eukaryota; Viridiplantae; Streptophyta; Magnoliopsida; Fabales; Fabaceae.
AUUGCUGGGUCCGGAUUAGGUAAUCUGCAUCCUGAGGUUUAGGACAAUAUCCUUUGUUUUGUUUCUAGUCCUUGGGAUGCAGAUUACGUCUUCCUUGCCAGCACUGUA